RNAcentral lists this ribosomal RNA (388 nucleotides) under uncultured bacterium. RNAcentral's name for it is "bacterial SSU rRNA". It matches the Rfam family "Bacterial small subunit ribosomal RNA", at positions 28 to 408 of the family's 1533-position model. The record is from RNAcentral.
GAUGAACGCUAGCGGCAGGCUUAAUACAUGCAAGUCGAGGGGCAGCAGGGGUGUAGCAAUACACUCGCUGGCGACCGGCAAACGGGUGCCGGAACACGUACGCAACUUACCCAAAACUGGGGGAAUAGCCCGGGGAAACCCGGAUUAAUACCUCGUAACAUAAUGGAGUGGCAUCACUUUAUUAUUAUAGCUCCGGCGGUUUUGGAUGGGCGUGCGCCUGAUUAGGUAGUUGGCGGGGUAACGGCCCACCAAGCCUACGAUCAGUAACUGGUGUGAGAGCACGACCAGUCACACGGGCACUGAGACACGGGCCCGGACUCCUACGGGAGGCAGCAGUAAGGAUAUGGUCAAUGGACNCAAGUCUGAACCAGCCAUGCCGCGUGAAGGA